UGGCGCGGAUGAGUUGACACUG
RNAcentral lists this microRNA (22 nucleotides) under Picea abies (Norway spruce). RNAcentral describes it as "pab-miR3627h". The record is from miRBase by way of RNAcentral. Lineage: Eukaryota; Viridiplantae; Streptophyta; Pinopsida; Pinales; Pinaceae.